UGAGACCCGGCCCGAACUCUACCGGAGGCAGCAGUGGGGAAUAUGGACAAUGGGGGCAACCCUGAUCCAGCCAUGCCGCGUGUGUGAAGAAGGCCCUCGGGUUGUAAAGCACUUUCAGCGAGGAAGAACGCCUAGUGGUUAAUACCCAUUAGGAAAGACAUCACUCGCAGAAGAAGCACCGGCUAACUCCGUGCCAGCAGCCGCGGUAAUACGGAGGGUGCAAGCGUUAAUCGGAAUUACUGGGCGUAAAGCGCGCGUAGGUGGCUUGAUAAGCCGGUUGUGAAAGCCCCGGGCUCAACCUGGGAACGGCAUCCGGAACUGUCAGGCUAGAGUGCAGGAGAGGAAGGUAGAAUUCCCGGUGUAGCGGUGAAAUGCGUAGAGAUCGGGAGGAAUACCAGUGGCGAAGGCGGCCUUCUGGACUGACACUGACACUGAGGUGCGAAAGCGUGGGUAGCAAACAGGAUUAGAUACCCUGGUAGUCCACGCCGUAAACGAUGUCGACCAGCCGUUGGGUGCCUAGCGCACUUUGUGGCGAAGUUAACGCGAUAAGUCGACCGCCUGGGGAGUACGGCCGCAAGGUUAAAACUCAAAUGAAUUGACGGGGGCCCGCACAAGCGGUGGAGCAUGUGGUUUAAUUCGAUGCAACGCGAAGAACCUUACCUACCCUUGACAUCGACAGAAGCCGAGAGAGAUCUUGGUGUGCCUUCGGGAACUGUCAGACAGGUGCUGCAUGGCUGUCGUCAGCUCGUGUUGUGAAAUGUUGGGUUAAGUCCCGUAACGAGCGCAACCCUUGUCCUUAUUUGCCAGCGCGUAAUGGCGGGAACUCUAAGGAGACUGCCGGUGACAAACCGGAGGAAGGUGGGGACGACGUCAAGUCAUCAUGGCCCUUACGGGUAGGGCUACACACGUGCUACAAUGGCCGGUACAAAGGGCAGCGAGCUCGCGAGAGUCAGCGAAUCCCUUAAAGCCGGUCUCAGUCCGGAUCGGAGUCUGCAACUCGACUCCGUGAAGUCGGAAUCGCUAGUAAUCGGAAUCAGAA
Molecule: ribosomal RNA, 1039 nt
Filed under: uncultured bacterium
Lineage: Bacteria
Description: bacterial SSU rRNA
Rfam family: Bacterial small subunit ribosomal RNA
Source: RNAcentral